This 488-nucleotide ribosomal RNA is filed under the name uncultured bacterium. Its description in RNAcentral is "bacterial SSU rRNA". It matches the Rfam family "Bacterial small subunit ribosomal RNA", at positions 28 to 507 of the family's 1533-position model. The record is from RNAcentral.
GAUGAACGCUAGCGACAGGCUUAACACAUGCAAGUCGAGGGCAGCAUAAAAGUAGCAAUACGUUUGGUGGCGACCGGCGCACGGGUGAGUAACGCGUAUGCAACCUACCUAUCAGGAGGGGAAUAACCCGGCGAAAGUCGGACUAAUACCGCAUAAAACAGGGGCACCGCAUGGUGAUAUUUGUUAAAGAAAUUCGCUGAUAGAUGGGCAUGCGUUCCAUUAGGUAGUUGGUGAGGUAACGGCUCACCAAGCCGACGAUGGAUAGGGGAACUGAGAGGUUGGUCCCCCACACUGGUACCGAGACACGGACCAGACUCCUACGGGAGGCAGCAGUGAGGAAUAUUGGUCAAUGGGCGGGAGCCUGAACCAGCCAAGUCGCGUGAAGGAAGAAGGAUCUAUGGUUCGUAAACUUCUUUUGCAGGGGAAUAAAGUGCAGGACGUGUCCUGUUUUGUAUGUACCCUGAGAAUAAGGAUCGGCUAACUCCGUG